UGGGGGAUAUUGCACAAUGGGCGAAAGCCUGAUGCAGCGACGCCGCGUGGGGGAUGAAGGCCUUCGGGUUGUAAACUUCUUUUGCUCUGAACAAGGCAUGCCUUUGGGGUGUGUUGAGUGUAGGGGUUGAUUAGCGCCGGCUAACUACGUGCCAGCAGCCGCGGUAAUACGUAGGGCGCGAGCGUUGUCCGGAAUUAUUGGGCGUAAAGGGCUUGUAGGUGGCUGGUUGCGUCUGUCGUGAAAGCUCAUGGCUUAACUGUGGGUUUGCGGUGGGUACGGGCUGGCUUGAGUGCAGUAGGGGAGGCUGGAAUUCCUGGUGUAGCGGUGGAAUGCGCAGAUAUCAGGAGGAAUACCGGUGGCGAAGGCGUGUCUCUGGGCUGUUACUGACGCUGAGGAGCGAAAGCGUGGGGAGCGAACAGG
This 420-nucleotide ribosomal RNA is filed under the name Fusobacteriota bacterium. Its description in RNAcentral is "Fusobacteria bacterium partial 16S ribosomal RNA". It matches the Rfam family "Bacterial small subunit ribosomal RNA", at positions 355 to 776 of the family's 1533-position model. Lineage: Bacteria; Fusobacteriati; Fusobacteriota. The record is from RNAcentral.